GCUUCGGCGGGCCCGCCGUUUCGACGGCCGCCGGGGAGGCCUUGCGCCCCCGGGCCCGCGCCCGCCGAAGACCCCAACAUGAACGCUGUUCUGAAAGUAUGCAGUCUGAGUUGAUUAUCGUAAUCAGUUAAAACUUUCAACAACGGAUCUCUUGGUUCCGGCAUCGAUGAAGAACGCAGCGAAAUGCGAUAAGUAAUGUGAAUUGCAGAAUUCAGUGAAUCAUCGAGUCUUUGAACGCACAUUGCGCCCCCUGGUAUUCCGGGGGGCAUGCCUGUCCGAGCGUCAUUGCUGCCCUCAAGCACGGCUUGUGUGUUGGGCCCCCGUCCCCCUCUCCCGGGGGACGGGCCCGAAAGGCAGCGGCGGCACCGCGUCCGGUCCUCGAGCGUAUGGGGCUUUGUCACCUGCUCUGUAGGCCCGGCCGGCGCCAGCCGACACCCAACU
This 441-nucleotide ribosomal RNA is filed under the name Aspergillus fumigatus. RNAcentral describes it as "eukaryotic LSU rRNA". The stretch from base 132 to 285 matches the Rfam family "5.8S ribosomal RNA". Lineage: Eukaryota; Fungi; Ascomycota; Eurotiomycetes; Eurotiales; Aspergillaceae. The record is from RNAcentral.